UUUGUUGCCAGUUGUCGCCUGUUGCGAGAUGACGCAUUACCAUUUACCAGCAAUUAGUCGCUCACAACCACUGACCCCGGAAGGAAGUUCAAGGAACCAUGGAGGGGAAACAGACCAAAUCUGACGGAGAGCUCAUGCCUCCUCCACGAGCCCCACCGAGGAGAGCUGCCGCCCGACCAAGGAGGGCUGCCACUCCACCCCUUCCACCUCAGCCACCAGCACCGGAGGAUGUCCCACGCCUUCGAAGAUCAUUUGCUUUUAUGGAAUCCAAGACAAGAGACGUGGGGACCCUGACUCCCGUUUCCUCCCAGGACUCGAAGAAAAG
Molecule: long non-coding RNA, 325 nt
Organism: Eriocheir sinensis (Chinese mitten crab)
Lineage: Eukaryota; Metazoa; Arthropoda; Malacostraca; Decapoda; Varunidae
Exons: 3
Source: RefSeq, a predicted model, not a curated record